AGUAAGUUAUUUUUCAAAUACUAGUAUAUUUCAGUUAAUGGAUACAGAUAAAUACAUAUUUUAACUGUGCUGUUAAGGUCAAAACAUAUUUGAAUUUCCAAAAAUAAAGUUUGGUGAACUCUUUGUCACAGAGCGAUAAAGAUGUUUUGUUUGACAUAAUAAUGUCAUAUAAGGACACUUUAGACGAUAAAAUAAAUGCAGAAUUAAGAAAACUUGGAUGGCAGGAGAUAUGCGAUUUAUUUAAUUCCCAAACUACUAAAUAAUCCUACCUAAGAGAUAUGCGACGUAUACCUAUGUAUUUAUCAAAAGUAAAGCAAAAUGAAAUCGAAACACUGAAAAAAUAAGCAUUUAUAAAACUGGUGGUGUAAAGGGUGAAUGUACAAUACAAUCUACACUAGGACAAGAUAAAAUCUUGGGUUUUAUAGUUGAUCGUAUGAAGCCUCUUGAAAACGAUAAUAAUUCUGAUGCUGACCUUGGUUAAUAAAACUGCUUAUUUAUUUUAAAAAACAAUAUUAAAAUAUAUUACAUUUUAUCUUUUAAAACUCACUAGAUGUGUUAGAGGAAAUAAUUGGGAAACUACUACCAAAAGUUUUGGUGAUAGUGGCAAUUAUAAAAUAUUUGAAUUAACAAUUAAACAUUUUUAAAUAUUUUGCUAUAUUGUCAUAAGAAAUUAUAUUUUUCAGUUGACGUUAUAAAAUUAGGAAUAGAACAAGUAAAUGUGUCAGGAAUAGUAAUUGUUGAUACAAAAGAACCAUCUAUACCUGUUGAACCUGUUAUACCUGGAUACAUAAAUUCAUAUGAUAAUA
Acyrthosiphon pisum (pea aphid) is the source of this 806-nucleotide long non-coding RNA. RefSeq lists it as uncharacterized. Lineage: Eukaryota; Metazoa; Arthropoda; Insecta; Hemiptera; Aphididae. The transcript has 4 exons. The record is from RefSeq and is a predicted model, not a curated record.